UUUUAUCUAUUGUAAAUUUGCAAUUAUAAUACAUUGGAAAAGGACAGUUCAGAAAAGGCUGAUUAUAGAGUUUUCAAACAAGCAAUUUUCUAAUAUAAAUGUUAAAUUGUAGUAUUUUCCUUUGUUUAUUUAAUUGACCAUGUCCAUACAGGACUUUUAUCGCGUGGAUGUAGGUCUUACAAUGGAACCGGAAGUACAUUUACAUACAAAAAUAUAUUCCGCGAAAAAUUCUGUUGUUGAUGUGCGCUCUACUGCUUGUUUAUUCGUAUGUCAGGUCACAUGUACAUUUCCUGUUAAAACAUUCAACAGACCGCAAACAUGGACGAAUAUGAUGAAAUGUACGGGAUUGAAGAUGAAUUUGAGAAACAGUUUGCGGAUGAACUGGAAGUCAUGGCUGAAAUGAAACGCGAACAUCCUUCAAGUGUAUGCAGUAAGAAGCCGAUUCCAGACGUUUGAGGAAGCCAUUGUGUCCGGUGAUGUGCCAUUGAGAAAAUCAGUAAAUAAACCGUGUCCUGAGAGCAUCUCACCACCAGUGUGUGAGGAGGAGGAAUCUCUGAAUAAGUGCAUUACAGGGGAUUCUCAUGUAAUAAAACAAUAAUUCAGAGCUACACUAUCAUUCAAAAAUUUGAUGUCAGUGAGAUUUUUAUUUCUUGGUUUUGAAAGUCUUUUAUGCUCACCAAGACUAUUACAAUUUUAAAUAACUUUUCUAUUUUAGUAUAUUUUAAUAUGUAAUUUAUUAAUGUGAUGGCAAAGCUGAAUUACUCCAGUCUUGAUCUUUGUUACAUGAUCCUUCAGAAAUCAUUACAGUAUGCUGAUUUUGCUUAAGUAUGCCUAACAUUUAUUAUUAUCAGUGUUGAAAACAUAAUAUUUUUGUGGAAACCAUAAGAAGUCUUUUUCAGGAUUCUAUGAUGAAUAGAAAUUAAUUUUUUAGCAUUUUUUGUAAUAUUAUAUGCUUUUAUUGUAACUUUUGCUCAACUUAAUGCAUCAGUGUUGUAUAAAAGUGUUAAUUUCUUUAAAAAAAAAAAACCCGUUCCAAACCCGUAAGACCUCCUUUUAUCUUUGGAACACAGGUUAAGAUAUUUUAGAUUUAGUCAGAGAGCUCUCAGUCCCUCCAUUGAAACAGUGUGAACAAUAUACUGUCCAUCUCCAGAAAGGUAAGAAAAACAUAAUCAAAGUAGUCCAUGUGACAUCACAGGGUCAGUUAGAAUUUGUUGAAACAUUGAAAAUAAAUCUGUCCAAAAAUAAAAAUUGCGAAGACAAUGGUCUUCUUUUCCUGGUCUGUUGUGAAUGCGUUCAGUGGAGCUGUUGGCUUUCGAGGCUGCUGACGUGUUAUCUCUGUUAUUGGGCACGCCAGAUAACACAUCAGCAGUGCUAAAACAAAUUGCAUAUCAUCUGUACCAUGAUUGGUGUUGACUGCAGUUUAGCAGUUUUCAAUACAAAUUUUUUUGAUAAAUAAAUACAAAUAUGCUUAUGAACUCCUUUAUUUAAAAUGUAAAAGGCGCUACAAUCAAUUGCAGCAGUAAAAUUGUUGAUUUGAGCCAUUUUGCAAGUUUCCAUCAUGUACCAAAGUCGAGCCCUUUGAAGAUUGUCAGUCAUCAAGUGUUCUAGGAAGAAAAGAAAGUUAAGAAGAAAAAAGCCUUCUCCUGGAGCUCAUCUCCCCCAAACUGAGGCCGAUCAACCCUCAGCUUUACAGCACUAGGGAGAAGCAGCAGCUCUAUGAUUUGAUUGACACCAUGAUCAACUAUAACCUGACUUAUAGACAGGACCGCACACCAGAGGGACAGUACACUUGUUCUGGAGCCAUGAGUACAUGCAAAUACACAAACAACAUUACCCUGAUCUACAGACAUAUUGUUCUGUUGGCACUUAAGUUAUGCAUCUCAGACUUCAUCACAAGAAUACACAAUAACACACACAGCGCUGAGAGAUUCUGUAUGUGUUUACCUGUUCAUCACGAUUUAUGAGAGAUUAAGAUGCAUCUCCAGAUUAUUGUCUCUCCCUCCCCUACUCUUCCCCAUUUUUAUUAUUCUUCGUCCACAGUUUCACUUUGGCGAUUCUCUCAGAUGAGAACUUGGAGGUUUUGUGUUACUUGCCUCAUUGCAUGGAUGCACAUGCUCAUCACUUAAAUAUUUACAAAGACCUACAAUCCUCUCUGUGGCUUACCGUGUCCUAGCACUCACAAUGAUUGAGGGGAGUGAUGCUGACAGUGUUCACAAACAAGCUUUGACAGUCAUGUGUGGAGCACUUGCUGCUAACCCUUUAAAAGUCUUCUUGGUGGAGCUAAAGGUGGAUAAAAACCUGGAGUGAGAAGAUAACCAAGGGAACACUUUGGGCUAUUGGAUUGGUUUUCAGACGAAUGAUGCAGCAGUCGUUCCUGCAGGCCCGCUGCGAGGAGACGCUGGUCACCUCGGAUUGGGGGAUUCCUCUGCUGGUCGCCCUGUUACUGCUUCUGCUUGUUUAUGCCUUCCUGUAUCUUCCUGCCAUCUCUUAUCGAGCUCUGCUUCAACAAGUGCUGAGUAACCACACUGAAGCCAUGCCACUGGAAAGUAACAAGACAGACUGAGGAUUGUACAAUUCCCAUGCCAAAUGUUGAAUGACAGUGAAAGCUAACUGCAUUUCCAUUGCAUUGAGGAGAAAUGGUUCAGCAUUGUUAACCAAGAUGAGGCCUGAAGGGAAGAAACAAUCACAUCUCACUUUUGUAAUUAAUACACAGCAAGCAUUUCUAUAUAUAUAUAUAUAUAUAUAUAUAUAUAUAUAUAUAUAUAUAUAUAUAUAUAUAUGUGAAGUCUUCUUUUGUUUUCAUGUGAGAUGCAAUGUCAUAUCAGCAGCAUAGAUAUAUUGAAGUAUCUGCCAACCUUUCAUUGCUGUCCUGUUCUCUCGAAAUGGAAGAAUUAAUUUAUUUUAGUGUGAAAACAAACUUGUGAACUGCUCCAUACUGCUCCACAGAACAUUCUCCAACUGUCCUAGAGAAAUGACUUUGUGUACGUGACCAGGAAUACCCCGCACAACUAAUCCUGCGUUUGGAUUUUCAUCUGCUUGUGUGUAUUGCACAUAUUGUUUAAUUUACUUCUAUUCCUGGAAGAGUGUUUCACCUUCUGAGUAAGACGGAUUAUUGAGCUCACCCGCUUUCCACUCUUUAACCAUCUCAUCUUCAUUUAUAUCCCUCCUCGUUAGAUUCCCUUGUUUGGGUUCUCUUUGGAGUAUAAUAAAAUGUUAUGCAAACGUUUAUGCUGUCAUUAUAUUUAGCUGUUUUCAUGGACUUGUCGUACAUUAAAUGACCUGUGUGUGUUUCCACAAUAGUGUAGAAGAUGUGGUGCAUUUUCCGGGUUUGCCUUCGUGGAGACAGUUAACUUAUCAGGUGAAGCAGCUGAUUGCCAAGGAGACAGAACUGGAGAGGAUGAGGAGGGUGGAGAAAGCCCAGCAGAAAGAAACCCACAAGGCAGAGGCAGUUAAUAAAGUGCAGAAGUGAAGAAACAGAUCAGCAGGGACCAUCAGCAGAGGCUGGAGAACAGACUGUGGUGGAAAAGCAGGGUGAAGAUGCCAAAGGAGCUGGAGUGGUGCAUAUUGGUAAAGCCGUGGGUGACAUUGACAUAUGGUUUUAUUUAAAUGAAGGUGUGUCAAAUACAGUGCGCAGAAACGUUUACAUUCGGGAGUUACUUUAAAGUGAAAUGGUCAAGAAAGUGAAUGAAGCCCAUGUUCAUUUACCACUUAAAUCAAUACAUGAAAAACCCCAAAUUUUCUGAACCUUGUACUGUAAAGUUAAAAAACAAACCUACAGAUCUACAAUAUGUGAAAAAGAAAAAGCACCGGUUCCUC
Molecule: long non-coding RNA, 3816 nt
Organism: Carassius gibelio (silver crucian carp)
Lineage: Eukaryota; Metazoa; Chordata; Actinopteri; Cypriniformes; Cyprinidae
Exons: 6
Source: RefSeq, a predicted model, not a curated record